Molecule: ribosomal RNA, 253 nt
Filed under: uncultured bacterium
Lineage: Bacteria
Description: partial 16S ribosomal RNA
Rfam family: Bacterial small subunit ribosomal RNA
Source: RNAcentral
UACGGGGGGGGCAAGCGUUGUUCGGAAUUACUGGGCGUAAAGGGCUCGUAGGGGGCCACCUAAGUCAGACGUGAAGUCCCUCGGCUUAACCGGGGAACUGCGUCUGAUACUGAUUGGCUUGAGUGUGGGAGAGGGAUGCGGAAUUCCAGGUGUAGCGGUGAAAUGCGUAGAUAUCUGGAGGAACACCGGUGGCGAAGGCGCCUGUCUGGCCCAAUACUGACGCUGAGGCGCGAAAGCUAGGGGAGCAAACGGG